This 855-nucleotide long non-coding RNA is filed under the name Fukomys damarensis (Damara mole-rat). Its description in RNAcentral is "lncRNA (ENSFDAG00000025252.1)". The record is from RNAcentral. Lineage: Eukaryota; Metazoa; Chordata; Mammalia; Rodentia; Bathyergidae.
ACAAUUGUUUCAACUCUUGCUGCAGCUUCAGAGACUGGUGUUUGUGUGUGUGUGUGUGUGUGUGUGUGUGUGUGUGUGUGUGUGUGAAUUCCCUCCCUGUGUUUGUACCUUAAGAAAAAAAAUCCCCUCUGGAAUGGCCGAUUCAAUCCCCUUUGUCUUCUCCUUUCCACCUCAGCCCUAUCACUCCCUCGCAGCACUGAGACACCAGUCCAGCCCACCAGGGCCUGCAGAACAUUAACCCCAAAGAGUGAUCACUGCCCACAGCCAGCAAUGCUUCCUAGUUUGUUUGUUUUGACCUUGGCCCUUCACAUUUUUCUGGUGUCUGCUGACUCCGUGUCUGGCUUUUAUCUCUAAUCCUAGCUCAGCUCAAUUCCAGUCUACAGUCUUCCCUGCUACUCAAGACUUAAUUUACGAUUUCCACUUUGUCAUCCAACUGGAGAAACUUUCUCUGAGCGUCCUAUGCUGCUGUGGCAGAGAAUCCAGCCCCUGGAGUGCCUGCGCGAAGUUGGUAAGGGGCCCACAAACUGGGGGUGCCUGCCAGCUCUGCACCCCUGCCAGGGGUAGGUCUGGCAGUCACACCGUCCCCCCACCUGUGAGCCCGUCUGCCAGCCACAGAGGCUCCGGUCCACUUGAGGCUGGUCCCAUCUGGCUGUGCCCAACGUCCUUCCUCCUGGGAGAGUGGAUGGCAUCAGGCUGUGCCAGCAAUAGCUUCGUGGCCCUGAGGUGCCCACCCUCGCUUGGAAGCACAGAUGAGCUCCGACACCUCCUCUACCCGUCAACCCAGACGUCUCCAAGGCCAACGAGGAUCAUAGUGCCGGAGUGGCCUUGGAAACACGCUUCUAGGCCCAAUCUCCA